UGGGGAAUAUUGGACAAUGGAGGAAACUCUGAUCCAGCAAUUCUGUGUGUGUGAAGAAGGUUUUAGGACUGUAAAACACUUUUAGUAGGGAAGAAAAAAAUGACGGUACCUACAGAAGAAGCAACGGCUAAAUACGUGCCAGCAGCCGCGGUAAUACGUAUGUUGCGAGCGUUAUCCGGAAUUAUUGGGCUUAAAGGGCAUCUAGGCGGUAAGACAAGUUGAAGGUGAAAACCUGUGGCUCAACCAUAGGCUUGCCUACAUAACUGUUGAACUAGAGUACUGGAAAGGUGGGUGGAACUACACGAGUAGAGGUGAAAUUCGUAGAUAUGUGUAGGAAUGCCGAUGAUGAAGAUAACUCACUGGACAGAAACUGACGCUGAAGUGCGAAAGCUAGGGGAGCAAACAGG
Molecule: ribosomal RNA, 407 nt
Filed under: Verrucomicrobiota bacterium
Lineage: Bacteria; Pseudomonadati; Verrucomicrobiota
Description: Verrucomicrobia bacterium partial 16S ribosomal RNA
Rfam family: Bacterial small subunit ribosomal RNA
Source: RNAcentral